Molecule: ribosomal RNA, 253 nt
Filed under: uncultured bacterium
Lineage: Bacteria
Description: partial 16S ribosomal RNA
Rfam family: Bacterial small subunit ribosomal RNA
Source: RNAcentral
UACGAAGGGUGCAAGCGUUACUCGGAAUUACUGGGCGUAAAGCGUGCGUAGGUGGUUCGUUAAGUCUGAUGUGAAAGCCCUGGGCUCAACCUGGGAAUUGCAUUGGAUACUGGCGAGCUAGAGUGCGGUAGAGGAUGGCGGAAUUCCCGGUGUAGCAGUGAAAUGCGUAGAGGUCGGGAGGAACAUCUGUGGCGAAGGCGGCCAUCUGGUCCAUUACUGACGCUGAGGUGCGAAAGCGUGGGGAGCAAACAGG